UGGAGCAGAGGGCGACUGCUUCAAUCUGAAGUGGUUGAUGAAAUGCUUUUGCUCAGCGAGUUAAUUCGGGAAGCCAACGAUCAGCAACAACAACGUGUUGCUCCUGGUUUCACCGUACCUCGAAUGGGAGGACAGACUGGAGGAAGGCCGGUUUACCAAAUCGCCCAAGAGCAGUUGCAGAUGUUGUUGUCCUAACUUCUCUGCUAAACAGAUUGCGGAGAUCUUGGGUGUCUCAAGAAGAACAGUGAACCGACGGUUAAGACAGUACAUACAAUUUCUCUUUUAGAGGUCGCUACACAGACCAGAUGAUGCACUUGAUCUGAAGGUGCUGCUAUUCGGAGUAUGUCCCACAGGCUUCGGAGGAGAACAUAUCGAGUGGCAGGGUCAAAUUCGCUGUGGCAUCUUGAUGGCAACCACAAGCUCAUAAAGUGGCUUGUUUUACUGUGAUUCGUUAAUUUGCCCUAACUGUGUCCCUAGCAAAUGACAAGCUGAUUUUAUGAGUUUUGAAUUUAAAAUAAGAUUUUCAGCUUCACAUGAAUGCAAUAGAGGUUAGGACUUUUCUUUCUGUUAAACGCCCAACAUGUUGCACAGAAAUGUAUACAAAUCAUUUUAGCUGCAUUCAAGCCAUUCAUAUUUUUUUUGUUAUAUUAUGUUAUUUAUAAAAUAAUAAUAAUAAUUUAUAAUUAUUGCCAACAACGAAAGGCAUCUUUGGGCUCUUCACUUCGUUUACCUGCCUCGUAUAAAACGUGACCUGAGGACUGCCAGAUACAUGUCACCAUAUCAUUUUUGUGCAAGGCUGUCUGACACAACAGUUGCAACAUCACACUGGUAUCCAAGGUAUAUUUGGAGCAGCCAGUUCCAGGGGGUGGCUGACCAGGGGGCGGCUGCACUUGCCUUUGACUGGCUACAAAGAGUUGUGGUUCCCCUAAACCAAUUUCAACCAAGUGACGAACAGUUGGAACACCUCAGGCAACACACAAAUCCUUUGGGUGGAGAUAGAGACAGUUUGGGAACUGAUCAGGUCCUCAAUGUCCUGUCUUAAUACAGUGCACACACACAAUUUAACUGUUGUAAUCACAUUGUCAAUAGGCCUUGGAAUGAGUAAGCAGUCUCAAUCACGUCAAUGUAAUAAAGAUGAG
Long non-coding RNA from Osmerus eperlanus (European smelt), 1139 nucleotides. RefSeq lists it as uncharacterized. Lineage: Eukaryota; Metazoa; Chordata; Actinopteri; Osmeriformes; Osmeridae. The transcript is spliced from 3 exons. The record is from RefSeq and is a predicted model, not a curated record.